This 253-nucleotide ribosomal RNA is filed under the name uncultured bacterium. Its description in RNAcentral is "partial 16S ribosomal RNA". It matches the Rfam family "Bacterial small subunit ribosomal RNA", at positions 524 to 776 of the family's 1533-position model. The record is from RNAcentral.
UACGGAGGGUGCAAGCGUUAUCCGGAUUCACUGGGUUUAAAGGGUGCGUAGGCGGGUAAGUAAGUCCGUGGUGAAAUCUCUGAGCUUAACUCAGAAACUGCCGUGGAUACUAUUUGCCUUGAAUAUUGUGGAGGUGAGCGGAAUAUGUCAUGUAGCGAUGAAAUGCUUAGAUAUGACAUAGAACACCAAUUGCGAAGGCAGCUCACUACACAAUCAUUGACGCUGAGGCACGAAAGCGUGGGGAUCAAACAGG